GCAGUGGUGGUUCAGUGGUAGAAUUCCUGCCUUUCAUGUGAGAGACCUGGGUUCAAUUCUUGGCCAGUGCA
RNAcentral lists this transfer RNA (71 nucleotides) under Loxodonta africana (African savanna elephant). It matches the Rfam family "tRNA". Rfam says of the family: Transfer RNA (tRNA) molecules are approximately 80 nucleotides in length. Their secondary structure includes four short double-helical elements and three loops (D, anti-codon, and T loops). The record is from Rfam by way of RNAcentral. Lineage: Eukaryota; Metazoa; Chordata; Mammalia; Proboscidea; Elephantidae.